Molecule: long non-coding RNA, 233 nt
Filed under: Lathyrus oleraceus (garden pea)
Lineage: Eukaryota; Viridiplantae; Streptophyta; Magnoliopsida; Fabales; Fabaceae
Description: Pisum sativum (pea) long non-coding RNA (PSAT_LNC003138)
Source: RNAcentral
UCUAUGGUGUUGCUAGUGCCGAUAUCAUCUUUGUAUUGCAUUGUAUUCCCCACAUCGAUCUUUAACUCUUCAUCAUAGACCUUGAGGGUCAUAGUUCCUUCCUCAAUAUUUAUCAUACACCGUCCUGUUUCCAAGAAAGGUCUUCCCAAUAUGAGAGGAAUCUCCUCAUCCUCCGGCAUUUCCAGAAUGACAAAGUCGACUGGAAAGACAAACUUGUCAAUUUUUACAAGAAC